Antechinus flavipes (yellow-footed antechinus) is the source of this 654-nucleotide long non-coding RNA. RefSeq lists it as uncharacterized. The record is from RefSeq and is a predicted model, not a curated record. The transcript is spliced from 3 exons. NCBI's taxonomy places the organism in Eukaryota, Metazoa, Chordata, Mammalia, Dasyuromorphia, Dasyuridae.
GGAGAAUUUAUGGGAAGACAUCAACAAGAGCAGCAGUAAAUGGACAAUCAAAGGAAAAAUCUACCUGUUCAUCAAGGAUAUCUUUGCUAAAAGUAUAAGAAGAAAACAGAAGUUUUAUAAAUGAUAAUCUACAGCAGACCACAUUUUUACAGUCACAAAAUGGAUAAAAGAUCUCCCAAUCUGUGUUUCAAGCCUACUCCCAACCAUUUUAAUCUAGAGGAAUAAUCUCUGUGAAGAAAAGAAUCAGCUAUUCUCAUCUUUGGAGAUAGAUAAAUCAGUCUAGUCAAAGCAAGUAGGAACCAUAAGAAAAAAACAUGAUGCAUAUGCCAAGUGAAUCAGACUACCACUACCCUUGACUACCAUCUCCCCUCAGAGUAUGAUGAAGAAAGCUCAAAAUCUGAAUCCAAGGGUCCCUAAAAUAAGUUCUCAUACCAAUGGCUUUGCAACAACUUCCAUCACUUUUAUUCAAAGAACCAAGCUUGAUGGAGAUGAUGACCUAAUAGUUCUCUUAUUGAUCCUUUAGUAGCCAUACCUACUAAAGGCACAGAAAAGAAGUUCUCUUCACAAAAGACUUUAGCAUCAUCAAAUGUUUAACAAAAAUGGAUAUGGUUUUAACAGUGGGGAAAAAAUAAAGAAAAUGCAUAACCAUCCAUA